RNAcentral lists this unclassified non-coding RNA (383 nucleotides) under uncultured fungus. Its description in RNAcentral is "partial contains small subunit ribosomal RNA, internal transcribed spacer 1, and 5.8S ribosomal RNA". The stretch from base 1 to 73 matches the Rfam family "Eukaryotic small subunit ribosomal RNA", at positions 1759 to 1831 of the family's 1831-position model. Lineage: Eukaryota; Fungi. The record is from RNAcentral.
UCAAACUUGGUCAUUUAGAGGAAGUAAAAGUCGUAACAAGGUUUCCGUAGGUGAACCUGCGGAAGGAUCAUUAUUGAAUAUGCUUGAUAGGUUGUAGCUGACUCUCCGGAGUAUGUGCACGCUUAUCUUGACUUAAUUCAUCCACCUGUGCACCUUUUGUAGUCUUGGGGGUUGAGAUCAGUCGACUAUCGGACAUUCCGGAUGUGAGGAUUGCUGAGUGCGCAAGCAUACAGCUCUUCUCAAAUGACUUGUCUUCCUCGAGUGCUAUGUAUUCAUAUACUAGUAUGUUGUAGAAUGUGAUCAAUGGGUCUAUGUACCUAUAAUAAUCAUAUACAACUUUCAGCAACGGAUCUCUUGGCUCUCGCAUCGAUGAAGAACGCAGC